RNAcentral lists this unclassified non-coding RNA (253 nucleotides) under uncultured Actinomycetes bacterium. RNAcentral describes it as "uncultured actinobacterium contains 16S-23S intergenic spacer region". It matches the Rfam family "Bacterial small subunit ribosomal RNA", at positions 524 to 776 of the family's 1533-position model. The record is from RNAcentral. Lineage: Bacteria; Bacillati; Actinomycetota; Actinomycetes.
UACGGGGGGGACAAACGUUAUUCGGAUUCACUGGGCGUAAAGCGGGUGUAGGCGGUCCGUUAAGUCGGAUGUGAAAUCCCAGGGCUUAACCCUGGAAUUGCAUCCGAUACUGGCGGACUUGAGGAUGGUAGAGGUCGGUGGAAUUCCCGGUGUACCGGUGAAAUGGGCAGAUAUCGGGAGGAACACCAGUGGCGAAGGCGGCCGACUGGGCCAAUCCUGACGCUGAGACCCGAAAGCCAGGGGAGCGAACCGG